GGAUGGAUCACCUCCUUUCUAAGGACUAUAUAUACUAAAAUCAUCAUCUUCAGUUUUGAAAGACUUAAGUAGAAAAUAAGUUUUUCUUUUAAGCACCAAAGGGCCUAUAGCUCAGGUUGGUUAGAGCACACGCCUGAUAAGCGUGAGGUCGGUGGUUCAAGUCCAUUUAGGCCCACCAAAAAAAGGUCCUGCUUAAAAAGUUCUUUGGAAAGUAGAUAAACAUGCUUUAAAAUUUUCAUAAAGUUGAAGGAAGCAAGGGCAUAUAGUGGAUGCCUUGGCACUAAGAGCCGAUGAAGGACGCAAUUAACGGCGAUACACCAUGGGGAGUUGUAAAUAAAUGGAGAUCCAUGGAUUUCCGAAUGGGGCAACCUACUACAAUAAACUUGUAGUUUUUUGAUUUCUAUCAAAAAGGAAACGCAGUGAACUGAAAUAUCUAAGUAACUGCAGGAAAAGAAAGUAAUAACGAUUCCGCUAGUAGUGACGAGCGAACGCGGACCAGCCUUGGAUACUAUCACUAGUUACAAAAUAAAAAGUUAUUUGAAGUUUUUGGAAAGAAACACCAAAGAAGGUGAUAGUCCUGUAAAAAGAAACUCUUUAUCUAGAGUAUCCUAAAAAGUACGGCGAGACACGAGAAAUCUUGUUGGAAGAAAUCGGGAGGACCAUCUCCCAAGGCUAAAUACUCCUUAGUGACCGAUAGUGAACUAGUACCGUGAGGGAAAGGCGAA
Molecule: small RNA, 725 nt
Filed under: Potato witches'-broom phytoplasma
Lineage: Bacteria; Bacillati; Mycoplasmatota; Mollicutes; Acholeplasmatales; Acholeplasmataceae
Description: bacterial LSU rRNA
Rfam family: Bacterial large subunit ribosomal RNA (bases 243-725)
Source: RNAcentral